This 406-nucleotide ribosomal RNA is filed under the name uncultured bacterium. Its description in RNAcentral is "partial 16S ribosomal RNA". It matches the Rfam family "Bacterial small subunit ribosomal RNA", at positions 30 to 526 of the family's 1533-position model. The record is from RNAcentral.
AUUGAACGCUGGCGGCAUGCUUUACACAUGCAAGUCGAGCGAGCGGCGGACGGGUGAGUAAUGUCCGGGAAACUGCCUGAUGGAGUGGGCUAAGUACUGGAAACGGUAGCUAAUACCGUAUACCAUCAGAUGUGCCCAGAUGGGCUUAGCUAGUAGGUGGGGUAACGGCUCACCUAGGCGACGAUCCCUAGCUGGUCUGAGAGGAUGACCAGCCACACGGAAACUGAGACACGGUCCAGACUCCUACGGGAGGCAGCAGUGGGGAAUAUUGCACAAUGGGCGCAAGCCUGAUGCAGCCAUGCCGCGUGUGUGAAGAAGGCCUUCGGGUUGUAAAGCACUUUCAGCGGGGAGGCGUUACCCGCAGAAGAAGCACCGGCUAACUCCGUGCCAGCAGCCGCGGUAAUAC